UACGUAGGGUGCGAGCGUUGUCCGGAAUUAUUGGGCGUAAAGGGCUCGUAGGCGGUCUGUUGCGUCAGGAGUGAAAACUCGGGGCUUAACCCCGAGCCUGCUUCUGAUACGGGCAGACUAGAGGUAUGCAGGGGAGAACGGAAUUCCUGGUGUAGCGGUGAAAUGCGCAGAUAUCAGGAGGAACACCGGUGGCGAAGGCGGCAUCCUGGACCAACACUGACACUGAGGAGCGAAAGCCAGGGGAGCAAACGGG
Molecule: ribosomal RNA, 253 nt
Filed under: uncultured bacterium
Lineage: Bacteria
Description: partial 16S ribosomal RNA
Rfam family: Bacterial small subunit ribosomal RNA
Source: RNAcentral